GAUGAACGCUGGCGGCGUGCCUAAUACAUGCAAGUCGAGCGAACAGACGAGGAGCUUGCUUCUCUGACGUUAGCGGCGGACGGGUGAGUAACACGUGGAUAACCUACCUAUAAGACUGGGAUAACUUCGGGAAACCGGAGCUAAUACCGGAUAAUAUAUUGAACCGCAUGGUUCAAUAGUGAAAGACGGUUUUGCUGUCACUUAUAGAUGGAUCCGCGCUGCAUUAGCUAGUUGGUAAGGUAACGGCUUACCAAGGCAACGAUGCAUAGCCGACCUGAGAGGGUGAUCGGCCACACUGGAACUGAGACACGGUCCAGACUCCUACGGGAGGCAGCAGUAGGGAAUCUUCCGCAAUGGGCGAAAGCCUGACGGAGCAACGCCGCGUGAGUGAUGAAGGUCUUCGGAUCGUAAAACUCUGUUAUUAGGGAAGAACAAAUGUGUAAGUAACUGUGCACAUCUUGACGGUACCUAAUCAGAAAGCCACGGCUAACUACGUG
This 497-nucleotide ribosomal RNA is filed under the name uncultured bacterium. RNAcentral describes it as "partial 16S ribosomal RNA". It matches the Rfam family "Bacterial small subunit ribosomal RNA", at positions 28 to 507 of the family's 1533-position model. The record is from RNAcentral.